AUUUUCUUGGCUGCAUUGUGCUCGCUUCUAGCAAUAUUUGUCCAAACACUUGUGCAUUUUCUGAGGGGAUUCCAAGUUGAUUGCUGGGUUUUCGGUGAUUUUCUUGGAUUUUCCAUACUCUCACAUACACUAAUAUUACAAUGUUGAAUGUGCUUGUGCCGUCAUGGCCUUUAAUAAAUAAUACAACUUUUAACAACGGAUCUCUUGGCUCUCGCAUCGAUGAAGAACGCAGCGAAAUGCGAUAAGUAAUGUGAAUUGCAGAAUUCAGUGAAUCAUCGAAUCUUUGAACGCAUCUUGCGCUCCCUGGUAUUCCGGGGAGCACACCUGUUCGAGUGUCGUGAAAAUUCUCAGGCUGGAUGCUUUUUUUUCCUUUGGAAAAAUACAUCUCAGCUUGGUUUUGGGCUUUGCCGUGACCCUUUAUUGGGGAACGGCUGGCCUCAAAAGUAUUAGCUGACCCUCACUAGGAAUUGGUUCUACUCAGCAUGAUAAUAAAUGUGAUUGCUGAGGACAUC
This 512-nucleotide ribosomal RNA is filed under the name uncultured fungus. RNAcentral's name for it is "eukaryotic LSU rRNA". The stretch from base 185 to 338 matches the Rfam family "5.8S ribosomal RNA". The record is from RNAcentral. Lineage: Eukaryota; Fungi.